This 1386-nucleotide unclassified non-coding RNA is filed under the name Leishmania donovani. RNAcentral's name for it is "gene:LdHU3.36.0670(CDS-product:hypothetical_prote in_conserved)". The record is from RNAcentral. Lineage: Eukaryota; Euglenozoa; Kinetoplastea; Trypanosomatida; Trypanosomatidae.
AUAAAGCGAAACUUCAGUAGAACGCUAAGGAGCUGUGAGCGCGACCUCCUUCUCCUACCUCGUAAUGCUUCGCAAGACUAAUCUCUUCCUCUUCGCGGCAUCGCGCGCUCUGAUGAGCGGUGGCAGCUCGCAUGGCCCCAUGCCGUACCAGGACAAGUCCUACCCGGUGCAACCCCACAACCUGAACGAGCUCCAGCAGCCCCCGGACAGCUGGCGCAAGAGCCCCAUUAUGAGCAAGCUUAUGGACCAGUCUCUGCCGGUGUACGACGACGUGGUGACCGGUGUUGGCCGCCUGUACUGGCAGGAGCCAGCGCGCGUGUGGCACCUGUUCGAGGCCGAUGACACCCUCAUGCUGGAGGAGCACGAUCGCGAGGAGUGGAACGAUCGACCGUAUGUGGCGGUGAACCACCUGUACGAACCUCCGAUCGGUAGUGAGGAGCGCCCCAUCCGCGUGGAGGGCACUGGCAACCCAGGUGACCAGCAGAUCGUACUGUGCUUUGGUAACUGCGCACCGCACGUGCCGCAGUCUAACUACUAUAUGAUGAUGAAGGGCUACAGCAAGACGAAGUGCCCCAUGUGCCAGCAGUGGUUCUACGUCCACAACCGCCCGUGGCUGGUGAUGCACCCUGAUUGGACCGAUGAGCCGGCCGCGGAUGAGGGUCCGGCCUACACGUUCGCCGAGAUCGAGGCCGAGUUCGACCGCGAUUUCCACGAGUUCGGCGUCUACCUCAAUGCUGAGUAAGCCACAUAGCUUCUACCAUUCCCUUCUUGUCCCUUAAAUUGCAUGUGUGCGUGUGUGUGCGUAUGUGCCACUGUUGGUGCGAUUUGCAUCUGCAGGUGCGCUGUCUCUCUCUCUCUCUAUCUCCUCGUUCACGUCAUUCUCGCUCUUUUUCUUUUGCGCGCUCUCUUGGUGGAGACAGUAGCGACGCAUUCAAGAAACAACCGCAGCAACCGGUAGCGGCGACACUACACAGUCUGGGAAGAAAACGGAGGACAGAAGAAUAGCGUUUUGCUUCUUGCUGCCGUUGUUGUUGUCGCUGUUCUCCUGUUGGCCCGACGCGGACGCAAGGAUAAGUGCGACGGCACAGGGAGGCAGACGAGAGGAGCACUUAGCUGAUUCAUUGUUGCUCGUUGAAGUAAUAGCAGGUGGCCAAACACGUAGGGAGGGACAACGAAUGGAGAAAGAAACAUACACAGGGCCGCGGGAACGGAAGGAGUCAAGGGGGAGGGGUGGCGAUGGAAGGGGGGAGUGAAAAACGCGAAGGGAUGCUUGACGCGUGAAAUGUAACUCUGACGUUGUAAAACUCUCCCGCCAUUUCUUUGCUUUCCCCAUCGGCUCCCUUCUACAAACACACACACACACACACACACACACACACAUUCUAG